This 253-nucleotide ribosomal RNA is filed under the name uncultured bacterium. RNAcentral describes it as "partial 16S ribosomal RNA". It matches the Rfam family "Bacterial small subunit ribosomal RNA", at positions 524 to 776 of the family's 1533-position model. The record is from RNAcentral.
GACGUAGGGCGCAAGCGUUAUCCGGAAUUAUUGGGCGUAAAGAGCUCGUAGGCGGUUUGUCGCGUCUGCCGUGAAAGUCUGGGGCUCAACUCCGGAUCUGCGGUGGGUACGGGCAGACUAGAGUGAUGUAGGGGAGACUGGAAUUCCUGGUGUAGCGGUGAAAUGCGCAGAUAUCAGGAGGAACACCGAUGGCGCAGGCAGGUCGCUGGGCAUUAACUGACGCUGAGGAGCGAAAGCAUGGGGAGCGAACAGG